RNAcentral lists this ribosomal RNA (301 nucleotides) under uncultured bacterium. RNAcentral's name for it is "partial 16S ribosomal RNA". It matches the Rfam family "Bacterial small subunit ribosomal RNA", at positions 509 to 807 of the family's 1533-position model. The record is from RNAcentral.
CAGUCGCCACGGUAACACGAGGGGGGCAAGCGUUGUUCGGAAUUAUUGGGCGUAAAGGGUGCGUAGGCGGCUUGACAAGUCUUGUGUGAAAUCUAUGGGCUCAACCCAUAGUCUGCACGGGAAACUGUCGGGCUUGAGAAUGGGAGAGGUGAGUGGAAUUUCCGGUGUAGCGGUGAAAUGCGUAGAUAUCGGAAGGAACACCUGUGGCGAAAGCGGCUCACUGGACCAUUUCUGACGCUGAUGCACGAAAGCUAGGGGAGCAAACAGGAUUAGAUACCCCCGUAGUCCCUGUCUCUUAUAC